Molecule: ribosomal RNA, 301 nt
Filed under: uncultured bacterium
Lineage: Bacteria
Description: partial 16S ribosomal RNA
Rfam family: Bacterial small subunit ribosomal RNA
Source: RNAcentral
CAGCCGCCACGGUAAUACGAGGGGGGCAAGCGUUGUUCGGAAUUAUUGGGCGUAAAGGGUGCGUAGGCGGUCUGAUAAGUCAUCUGUGAAAUCUCUGGGCUCAACCCAGAGUCUGCAGGCGAAACUGUCGGGCUUGAGUAUGGGAGAGGUGAGUGGAAUUUCCGGUGUAGCGGUGAAAUGCGUAGAUAUCGGAAGGAACACCUGUGGCGAAAGCGGCUCACUGGACAAUAACUGACGCUGAUGCACGAAAGCUAGGGGAGCAAACAGGAUUAGAUACCCGGGUAGUCCCUGUCUCUUAUAC